ACCUGCGGUGCAAAACAUCAUAAUCUAGAAGAAACAAACUAAUUUCUUCCAGAUAAUCUAUUAUGCUUUUUUUUUUUUUUUU
RNAcentral lists this unclassified non-coding RNA (82 nucleotides) under Bodo saltans. The record is from RNAcentral. Lineage: Eukaryota; Euglenozoa; Kinetoplastea; Eubodonida; Bodonidae.